RNAcentral lists this ribosomal RNA (461 nucleotides) under uncultured Acidimicrobiales bacterium. RNAcentral's name for it is "bacterial SSU rRNA". It matches the Rfam family "Bacterial small subunit ribosomal RNA", at positions 28 to 505 of the family's 1533-position model. The record is from RNAcentral. Lineage: Bacteria; Bacillati; Actinomycetota; Acidimicrobiia; Acidimicrobiales.
GACGAACGCUGGCGGCGUGCCUAACACAUGCAAGUCGAACGAGAUCCCGGAGCUUGCUCCGGGGGACAGUGGCGAACGGGUGAGUAACACGUGAGAAACCUGCCCUGGAGACCGGGACAACCAUUGGAAACGAUGGCUAAUACCGGAUGCCUUCACAUGACCGCAUGGUCGAGUGAAGAAAUGCUCAGGCGCUCUAGGAGGGUCUCGCGGCCUAUCAGCUAGUUGGUGAGGUAACGGCUCACCAAGGCAUCGACGGGUAGCUGGUCUGAGAGGACGAUCAGCCACACUGGGACUGAGACACGGCCCAGACUCCUACGGGAGGCAGCAGUGGGGAAUAUUGCGCAAUGGGCGAAAGCCUGACGCAGCAACGCCGCGUGUGGGAUGACAGCUUUCGGGUUGUAAACCACUUUCAGUGACGACGAAAAUGACGGUAGUCACAGAAGAAGGUCCGGCCAACUACG